UACGGAGGGUGCAAGCGUUGUCCGGAUUUAUUGGGUUUAAAGGGUGCGUAGGCGGCUUUUUAAGUCAGUGGUGAAAUCCUGCAGCUCAACUGUAGAAUUGUCAUUGAUACUGAGAAGCUUGAGUACAGACGAGGUAGGCGGAAUUUAUGGUGUAGCGGUGAAAUGCAUAGAUACCAUAAAGAACCCCUAUUGCGAAGGCAGCUUACUAGGCUGUAACUGACGCUGAGGCACGAAAGCGUGGGGAUCAAACAGG
This 253-nucleotide ribosomal RNA is filed under the name uncultured bacterium. Its description in RNAcentral is "partial 16S ribosomal RNA". It matches the Rfam family "Bacterial small subunit ribosomal RNA", at positions 524 to 776 of the family's 1533-position model. The record is from RNAcentral.